This 208-nucleotide ribosomal RNA is filed under the name uncultured bacterium. RNAcentral describes it as "partial 16S ribosomal RNA". It matches the Rfam family "Bacterial small subunit ribosomal RNA", at positions 1286 to 1500 of the family's 1533-position model. The record is from RNAcentral.
UCUCAGUUCGGAUUGGAGUCUGCAACUCGACUCCAUGAAGCUGGAUUCGCUAGUAAUCGCGCAUCAGCCAUGGCGCGGUGAAUACGUUCCCGGGCCUUGUACACACCGCCCGUCAAGCCAUGGGAGUCGGGAGUGCCUGAAGUUCGUGACCGUAUAGGAGCGACCUAGGGCAAGACUGAUGACUGGGGCUAAGUCGUAACAAGGUAUC